GAUGAACGCUGGCGGCGUGCCUAAUACAUGCAAGUCGAGCGAACAGAUGAGGAGCUUGCUCCUCUGACGUUAGCGGCGGACGGGCGAGUAACACCUGGAUAACCUACCUAUAAGACUGGGAUAACUUCGGGAAACCGGAGCUAAUACCGGAUAAUAUAUUGAACCGCAUGGUUCAAUAGUGAAAGACGGUUUUGCUGUCACUUAUAGAUGGAUCCGCGCCGCAUUAGCUAGUUGGUAAGGUAACGGCUUACCAAGGCAACGAUGCGUAGCCGACCUGAGAGGGUGAUCGGCCACACUGGAACUGAGACACGGUCCAGACUCCUACGGGAGGCAGCAGUAGGGAAUCUUCCGCAAUGGGCGAAAGCCUGACGGAGCAACGCCGCGUGAGUGAUGAAGGUCUUCGGAUCGUAAAACUCUGUUAUUAGGGAAGAACAAAUGUGUAAGUAACUAUGCACGUCUUGACGGUACCUAAUCAGAAAGCCACGGCUAACUACGUG
This 497-nucleotide ribosomal RNA is filed under the name uncultured bacterium. RNAcentral describes it as "partial 16S ribosomal RNA". It matches the Rfam family "Bacterial small subunit ribosomal RNA", at positions 28 to 507 of the family's 1533-position model. The record is from RNAcentral.